UCAAUUUGCGCCGCUCACCAUCAACAUAUUAUUCUAAUCUGAAAUCUUCUUCUUCCUCCUGUGACUUUGUUUCUCUCUACGCCCAAACCCUAACGCCACCAAGCUUAAUUCAUACGUUCACCGUUCUUCUUCAACACUCUUUCUUGCACGGUUAAAUUUUUUCCACAUGUGCCCUGAUUUCUCCAAGCUCUUCCUCCUCCUCUUUCAAUUGCGCGGCUCCUCUCACCUCUUCUCAUUGACUGCUCAUCGGUUUACAAAAGAGGUUCAUGCUGGCAAAGGCGGCGGCGGCGGAAGGUUGCUAGGGUUUAGCGGCGGCGGAAGGUUGCUAGGGUUUUGCAGGCUCCGUCGGUUGUGUGUGUGAUUCGUUUCAAUUCCCAAACUAUUGGUGACAGUAACACUGUGAAAGAGAGAAGGUGGAAUUAUCAGAGGGAGGAGUCAAUUUUGAUCUUCGUAUUUGUUUAAAAGUUGUAAUUGCAUGGAACGACAACAACAGCAACCAGAGCAGCGCCACCUCCUCAGUGGCGGAGAUGUUCAUUUACAGCAUAGCAUGGACCUCCUGGGUACACUUUUGCAAUUCUGUUCCUGUACAAACACGGGAGGAGAAGGAUGUUUAUGGUAUUCCUUGAGAGAGCUUGAACAUAAAAGAGACUGCAUGAGAAGCAAUUAUUUAGAUCAGAUAAAAAAAAGUGUUGAUGCUUAAGUUCAUUGAAACACUGAACCAAUUGAUCCAAAUGAGGUUGAGGAUUAUUAUACAGUCAUUAAAGAGCCUAUGGAUUUUGCAACCAUGAGGGCUAAACUACAUGAAGGGAUGUAUAAGACUCUAGAACAAUUUGAGGUUUGCAUCUUUCAUUUUAUUUCACAUGCUCAUGUUAUCUAUCAGUAUCAAUUAGCAGACAUGUAUGCAUAAUAUUUGAACCAUCUAACACAUGAUAUUUGAACCAUUAUACAACAUGACAUGUUUCUAAUAUUCAACAAUGCUCUUCUAUUUCAUUUUGCUAUUGAUUCUUGAGAGCUUGAAGAACCAUUGGAUCAUAUUCACAUGAUUGAUUAUUUUUUAGUAUGGGCCAUGUUUAGGAUAGUGUGCAACACUGCAUGAGGCUGAGAUCUAUAUCAUGACAACCAUAUAAGGGAGCUCCCAUCACUGACACCGGCACAUAGAGAGGCAAAAAAUUGAAGACAUUGUAACACCACACGUGAUCCUGUGUAAAGACAUGGUGCUGAAGUUUUCUGGCUCUUCCAAGCAAUCAUCAAGAUCUGGACCAGGUUCAAGUUCAAGAGGAAUGGGACCAAUAGAGAAUCAUGAGAACACUGUGGCAGAAGGGGUUCAAUACCCUGACAUGGGAGGAGUUGGUUCAGCCUCUGCCCGUGCUUGGGAACACAGGACCUCCUUGAAAAAUUUUCAGGUGUAAGCACCAUUUGGUUUAUGUAUAAUGCUGAUUUGUGGUGAUGAAAGUGGCUCCCUUGGCUGUGGAAUUGGUACUCUUAUUGAUUGCUGCGAUCCUCUAUUGCCAGAAGUUCCUGAGGACGAUUGGUUCUGUCCAAAGUGCAGUAGCACCCAAAACUGCACAACUUUAAUUGACCUGAGAAAUUUUGUUCAUGGAAAUCACAUGAAUAGCUUCACCCUAGAGCUAGCUUUGCAAAUCCAAAAGGGUUUUCUAGAAAGAAUUUGUCAAAGGUAAGUGAUUGUGUUAGCUUACGCAUCACAUAUUAAAACAAGGCCGCAUUGAUAGCAGCAUCAAGUGUACAAGUUAAUUUAGGCUUGAGUCAUCUUUGGCCAUUUGUUCUGGGUAAGCUCUUCCAUUCUAUGUGAAAUGCAAAUAUGGUAAUAGAAUUGAAGACAUAGCCCAAGAUAAGUAGAUGUAAUGUAUACUCCAAAUGUGUAUUUACUUCACUCCAUUAAUUUCAAUUUUGUAAUGAAGUUAUUUGUGUUCUGCACUGUGUAAAUAACAUCAUAUUCAUAUUGAAGUGUCAUACAACCUCAACCCAAAGUUAUUUUUUCUCACUGUGAAAUCAACAUUCACAGUAGUUAGUUGACAUCAAGUGAGCUUUAUUUAGAAGCUUUGUGAAUAUAUGGAAAUCCUUAAUUCUAAUAGCCAUAAGUUAACAACCUGAUAAGCUAAUUGAGUCUCACAGCUAGAGUAACAAACCACAAUGCCUCUUUAAGCUAUCCCUUGCUACUUUUAGCUCCUUUUAAAGCUUCAAUUUGUACUUUGUAAUGGUGAUAAGUUUGCUCAUUUGGCUGGAAGGUCUUUCUUAUUUGUUUUGCUCCGUGGCUGUGUUGAUUUCUAUGAUUUAUUUACAAAUAUUUUUUCUUUACUAAACAAGCUAAUCGUUCUUAUUAUGUGGGACCGUGGAAUGAACAUUGUCUAUCACAUGACAGACAACUAAGGAAUUAAAUCUCUUAUGUAGUUAAUCAGUUGUUCUUCGAUUGAGAAAUCACUUUCUGGAGCUUGCUUUUAGUUCCUCAGUGAAAAAAAAGAUGGGUGUUUUGUUACUUUUAUUGUUAGUGCGUAAUCAGUGUUGGAUAGUUUUAAAUCGCAUUUAGACAUAACUGAUCUCUUGAACUGUUUUUCUGGAUUUCUACUGCAUUUUCCUUGGUGUUUAAAGUAUGUAGAUGCUACAGAUUUUGGGAAAAGGGCGGUGGUUCAUAUUACCUUAAAUGAAUGUGAUAGACUUUGACCAGUUUGAUUGUUCAUUUAGACCUUGCUACAUUCCUCAACUCCACGAAUCUGAAGGGUUGUUACAGUAGCAUACAAAGAACCAGGAUUUUGAAGUCAUGAAUCAUGACAAGACAAUGGAUCCAAAGAAUUAGUUGUGGGGUGGAGUUACGAAGAAGCCAAGGAAUAUGUGAAUGUUUCAAAGGAAGAGGUUCUUAUUUGAAGAUAAUUCAAGGAAAAUCUACAGGAAGAAAGUAAUUUUAGAAAAUGGUUGGAGUUCAACACACGAGAGAAUUUAUUUGUACUGUUAACUAUAUUGGUUAAAUUUAAUUUAAUUAUGUUGAAGGGUAUACUUUUAUUGAUUCAAUUGUAAAUUACUUUAGAAGUUGUUUCUUACUUUGUAAAGGAAAAGUUUGGAUCUAAUUAUAUAAGGAAACA
Lotus japonicus is the source of this 3095-nucleotide long non-coding RNA. RefSeq lists it as uncharacterized. The transcript is spliced from 6 exons. NCBI's taxonomy places the organism in Eukaryota, Viridiplantae, Streptophyta, Magnoliopsida, Fabales, Fabaceae. The record is from RefSeq and is a predicted model, not a curated record.